RNAcentral lists this ribosomal RNA (496 nucleotides) under uncultured bacterium. Its description in RNAcentral is "partial 16S ribosomal RNA". It matches the Rfam family "Bacterial small subunit ribosomal RNA", at positions 29 to 523 of the family's 1533-position model. The record is from RNAcentral.
AUUGAACGCUGGCGGCAUGCUUUACACAUGCAAGUCGAACGGUAGAGGGGGCAACCCCUUGAGAGUGGCGAACGGGUGAGUAAUGCAUCGGAACGUGCCCAGUCGUGGGGGAUAACGCAGCGAAAGCUGUGCUAAUACCGCAUACGAUCUCUGGAUGAAAGCGGGGGACCGAAAGGCCUCGCGCGAUUGGAGCGGCCGAUGGCAGAUUAGGUAGUUGGUGGGGUAAAGGCCCACCAAGCCAACGAUCUGUAGCUGGUCUGAGAGGACGACCAGCCACACUGGGACUGAGACACGGCCCAGACUCCUACGGGAGGCAGCAGUGGGGAAUUUUGGACAAUGGGCGCAAGCCUGAUCCAGCAAUGCCGCGUGCAGGAAGAAGGCCUUCGGGUUGUAAACUGCUUUUGUACGGAACGAAACGGUCCGGGUUAAUACCCUGGGCUAAUGACGGUACCGUAAGAAUAAGCACCGGCUAACUACGUGCCAGCAGCCGCCGCCG